Molecule: long non-coding RNA, 316 nt
Filed under: Triticum aestivum (bread wheat)
Lineage: Eukaryota; Viridiplantae; Streptophyta; Magnoliopsida; Poales; Poaceae
Description: long non-coding RNA (TAES_LNC013295)
Source: RNAcentral
UUUGCUCCCUUUCAAUAUUUUAUAAAAUAAUAAAAUGCUAACCCAACAACGGUAUUUAAUUGGAGCACAAAUGUUCACUCUUGAAAUGGAAGGACGGAAGGUUAGUCUCUGUCGUCGAGUCCCACGAGGACAUAGAGAAAGCAAUGACAUGGGUCUCUUUCCUUCCCUUGUCCCGUACAUUGGCACACAAGCACAGGAACCAGGAAUCAGUGGCAACGAUUUGGGGACCUCCUCGCACAAAACCCUGUCUUCGGUAGUCCAUGACAGCCACGAAAUUGCACCACGCCUCGCAAGUAGUGACUCACGGGGGACCAGG